AGAGUUUGAUUAUGGCUCAGAACGAACGCUGGUGGCGUGUCUUAUACAUGCAAGUCGAGCGGUGCAGCAAUGCAUAGCGGCGAACGGGUGAGUAACGCGUAAGCAAUCUGCCCCCUGUUCGGGAAUAGCCGUGCCAACGCGCGGGUAAUACCGGAUAUUGUGGCCCUGGACAUCCGGGGUUGACAAAAGAUUUAUCGACAGGGGAUGAGCUUGCGUCCGAUUAGCUAGUUGGCGGGGCAACGGCCCACCAAGGCGACGAUCGGUAGCCGGCCUGAGAGGGUGAUCGGCCACAUUGGGACUGAGAUACGGCCCAGACUCCUACGGGAGGCAGCAGUAGGGAAUAUUGCACAAUGGGGGAAACCCUGAUGCAGCAACGCCACGUGUGGGAAGAAGCAUUUCGGUGUGUAAACCACUGUCGUGAGGGAAUAAGGCUGAGUUUCGGCUCAGUUGAAUGUACCUCGAGAGGAAGCACCGGCAAACUUCGUGCCAGCCGCCGC
Molecule: ribosomal RNA, 497 nt
Filed under: uncultured bacterium
Lineage: Bacteria
Description: bacterial SSU rRNA
Rfam family: Bacterial small subunit ribosomal RNA
Source: RNAcentral